RNAcentral lists this non-coding RNA (23 nucleotides) under Cricetulus griseus (Chinese hamster). Lineage: Eukaryota; Metazoa; Chordata; Mammalia; Rodentia; Cricetidae. The record is from RNAcentral.
ACUUGCUGUACAGACUGCUGCCA